CGACCAUCAAAAUUCGGUCAAAAUUCAGAUACCUCUCUCUCCAUAAAUUUGCAAAAUUUCCCACUUUCCCUUUUCCACCAGGCCACCACACCUGACCUCACAAAAGCAGCCGCUUUGACGCAAACCCAAACUCCAAACAAUUCAACCCAAAAAUCCCAUUCAUUCCACCGAGGAUCACCGCUACAACCACCCGUCACCGUCGCCACCACAAACGCCAGAUUCCCAAGUGGUGGGUUUCCUUAAUUUUUUGUAACUAAUAUGUCGUCACUCCUUGAUACUACACCACCUUCCACACCAGGCAAGCUUAAACCGGACAAAUCCGCGACUUACCUUCACCCUCAUCACCGUUCUCUCCGAUUGCACUCCUCUCUCUCCAAACUCACUUUCUAUUCGUUUCUUUUCCUUAUUCUCUUUCUCUUCUUCUUCCUCCUCUCUCCUCCCUCUCCUUCUCCUCCCCACCAAGUCGAAACCGAUCCACUUGGGGGCCCUCUCUGGGAGAAAAAGGUCGUCAAAUCCGCGCGUCCCAAGGUACGCGCUGGCCUAACCGUUUUGGUCACUGGUGCUGCUGGCUUUGUGGGAACCCAUGUCUCGGUCGCGCUGAAGCGUCGGGGCGACGGCGUUCUUGGCCUCGACAAUUUCAAUCACUACUACGAUACCAGCCUGAAAAGAGCCCGACAAAAGGUAUUAGAACGAUCUGGGGUUUUUAUAGUGGAAGGGGAUAUCAAUGACAUGGUAUUAUUAAAGAAGCUUUUUGAUGUGGUGCUUUUUACCCAUGUAAUGCACCUAGCUGCUCAAGCUGGGGUGCGCUACGCAAUGCAAAAUCCCAAGUCUUAUGUUCAUAGCAACAUUGGUGGAUUUGUCAAUUUGCUUGAGGUUUGUAAAUCAGCGAACCCGCAACCUGUGGUUGUGUGGGCGUCUUCGAGUUCUGUCUAUGGGCUUAAUACGAAAGUACCCUUUUCAGAGAAGGAUAGGACUGAUCAGCCUGCUAGUUUAUACGCAGCAACUAAGAAGGCAGGAGAGGAAAUUGCUCACACUUACAAUCAUAUUUAUGGUCUCUCCAUUACUGGGUUGCGGUUUUUCACGGUUUAUGGGCCAUGGGGAAGGCCCGACAUGGCGUAUUUCUUUUUUACUAAGGAUAUUUUGAAGGGGAAGGAGAUCGGUAUCUUCCAAACAGCUGAUGGAAGGAGUGUAGCAAGGGAUUUCACCGACGUUGACGAUAUCGUGAAGGGGUGUUUGGCGGCCUUGGAUACUGCAAAGAAGAGCACUUGGAGUGGAGGAAAGAAGAGGGGGGCAGCGCAAUUGAGGGUCUUCAAUUUGGGGAAUACUUCGCGAGUACCUGUGAGUCGGCUUAUUGGCAUAUUGGAGAGUCUUUUGAAGAUGAAGGCUAAGAAAAAGGUGUUGCCAUUGCCUAGAAAUGGGGAUGUGGAGUUUACACACGCUAAUAUUAGUUUUGCGCAGAGGGAGCUUGGCUAUAAGCCUACAACUGAUUUGGAAACUGGGCUUAAGAAGUUUGUGAGAUGGUACCUCAGUUAUUAUUCAGGGUCAAAGAAGAAGAGUUCCUGGUGAAUGUUAAACGUUCUUUAAGUUUGCAAUAUCUAUUUUGGCGCAAACUUUGAAAUCUUUCUUCAUUUUGUGAUACAGUAGGAAUAUUUGUCUUGCAAUAUGUUUGUUUGCUGAUUGAUAAGCAUAUUCUUUGCAGGGCAUACCUGAAUUGUAUCAACAGUGAUUAUUUAUUUUUACUUCUCCACAUGUAUUGCUUCAUUCUUUCAGGAUAUCCUUUAUAGUUAGACAACGUAUUUAGUUAAAAUUGUCUAGCAAUUUCAAUAAAUUAGUUUGAUUGUGCAUUAAUUUUACAUGCCCUUCUUGAUUUUGCUCGAUUGGGGAGACUUUGGAAAAUAAUUGUGCUUUUUGUACAUCUUUUAUUCAUAUAAUGUAUAUUUUUACCUAGAUAUUGGGAUUAAAA
This 1963-nucleotide unclassified non-coding RNA is filed under the name Hevea brasiliensis (rubber tree). Lineage: Eukaryota; Viridiplantae; Streptophyta; Magnoliopsida; Malpighiales; Euphorbiaceae. The record is from RNAcentral.